GUGGAGGCUGUUCCCAGCAGGGAUCGCUGUGGGUGGCAGGUUGUGCGUGGUGGGGGCUGUUCCCAGCAGGGAUUGCUGUGGGGGGCAGGAUAUGCGUGGUGGGGGCUGUUCCCAGCAGGGAUCACUGAGGAGGGCAGGGUGUGUGUGGA
This is a long non-coding RNA of Dermochelys coriacea (leatherback sea turtle), 149 nucleotides long. RefSeq lists it as uncharacterized. Lineage: Eukaryota; Metazoa; Chordata; Testudines; Dermochelyidae. The transcript has 3 exons. The record is from RefSeq and is a predicted model, not a curated record.